AUCCUGGGGCUGGAGUCGGUCCCAAGGGUUGGGCUGUUCGCCCAUUAAAGCGGUACGCGAGCUGGGUUUAGAACGUCGUGAGACAGUUCGGUCCCUAUCCGCUGUGCGCGUAGGAAUAUUGAGAAGGGCUGUCCCUAGUACGAGAGGACCGGGACGGACGAACCUCUGGUGUGCCAGUUGUUCUGCCAAGGGCAUGGCUGGUUGGCUACGUUCGGGAGGGAUAACCGCUGAAAGCAUCUAAGCGGGAAGCCUGCUUCGAGAUGAGUAUUCCCACCUCCUUGAGAGGGUAAGGCUCCCAGUAGACGACUGGGUUGAUAGGCCGGAUAUGGAAGCCCUGUAAGGGGUGGAGUUGACCGGUACUAAUAGGCCGAGGGCUUGUCCUCAGUUG
This 388-nucleotide ribosomal RNA is filed under the name Streptomyces albidoflavus. Its description in RNAcentral is "bacterial LSU rRNA". It matches the Rfam family "Bacterial large subunit ribosomal RNA", at positions 2544 to 2925 of the family's 2925-position model. The record is from RNAcentral. Lineage: Bacteria; Bacillati; Actinomycetota; Actinomycetes; Kitasatosporales; Streptomycetaceae.